CUUAAUCAAACAUAACCAAUGUUUCCUCCCUAUAUUUUCAAGCCCCACCCCCAAGUUCCCACCCCACUCCCCAAAUUCCCACCUACCCUCUCAAAUGUCUGACCUGGAAUUGGACUGGAUCAGCCACGCUCCUGGGCCUCUGCACCUGCUUCCCAUGAUCUUCAGUGCUUCUCCAGGAAAUUCCCCUCCCUCUUGGCCCAGACCCCUUGUGCUCUCUGGGUGCUGCAUGGUCAGAGCCUCUGAGCAACAUCAUAUUCUGAUGCUGAAAGCCCUGACACACAGUACCUGCAACAAUAGUGGCCAAAGGCCUUGUGUGAUGGCAUAACCCAGCUCCUACUGAGCAGGGCUCAGUCUGACGUAAGCCUAUCUUGGCAGCAAACGUGGGAAGCAUUUCACUGAGAACAGGAUUGGUCUUCAAGGGUAGAAGGCAGGGAGCACUCUGGAAGAGAACCAUCAAGAUAGAAUUCUUCAUGUGAGGUGCCACAGAAGAGAUGGGGAGGAAUGGCCCAUGGCAGAAAGCCUGCAGAACAUGCCAGUCUUUUCUUACUGUAGUAAGGUUCCCAUGGGAGGGACGACAGCAGGACUGGUCCUGCAAAGCUCUGAAUACCUUUGCUACAUCGUGAUUAGAUGUCAUACUGGAAGGGAGAAGCAGAUCGGUCGCGCCUCCCUCCGCCUUCCUCUGCACCUCCAAGCCUGGUGCUGCCAGCUCGCCUGGGAUUAUUAACAAUCGCUACCCAGUCCUGUGGGCCGCUGGAGGAUGGACCUGGCUCUCCCAUGGUCCUCCAAGGAAGGAAUGCGGAGAGCGGCCACAUGCUCUUUGCAGCUUCUCUGAGGCUACUGCAGCAUCCCUGCCCCGCCCGUCAGCCCAUACAACAGAGCUUCACUGCAGCUUCGGAACCCUGUUCUCUUUCUUCCUCACUUCCUCGUUGCCAUGGAGACACACGUCAUUUACGUGCCGUGCGUCGCCUUGGAAACGGGGGAGCAUCCGCGGCGCCGCCGGGAGACCCGCCCCUGCCUCUCCAGCCGCACUCGCGGGCACUGCUGGUGGAUGGCUGGGGGGAGUCCCGAGACUGACGCGCUGCGGGUCCCCGUCUCGACCCCGAGCCCUCUGCGAGCGCCUCUGUGACCUGUGAGCACUCUUUGUCGGUGAUUGCCGGGAGGGCGGCGGGACAUAGGUACCACACUGGAGGCGAGCGGGCAAGCCACUUUUGCCCCCUGGGUAAGCCCGAAGAUCCUGGUCCCGGGACCCUAGACGGGUCUUCGUUCCAUCGACUCUUCUCAGCCCUCCUUGAUCCCGCCCGUGUCCUCUGCCUGGGGCCGCUCUCUUCACGUAGGCUCCCCGCCCCUCUAGGGAGCCUAGGUGUCCCUGGGCUCCACCCCGUCCCUCCCGGGACCUCUCCCCCUCCACACCCUUCCCCCACCCUGGAGGCCCGGCUGGACACGACCCAGAGCUGCCA
This 1457-nucleotide long non-coding RNA is filed under the name Mus spicilegus (steppe mouse). RNAcentral describes it as "lncRNA (ENSMSIG00000000275.1)". Lineage: Eukaryota; Metazoa; Chordata; Mammalia; Rodentia; Muridae. The record is from RNAcentral.